GCUCUAGGCGGUAUGCCUUGGGUCACAGGAGGCGUAAGUAAGGACGUGACAAGCAACGAAAACCUCGAAUAGGAGCAAAUAUCCAGUAACUCGGGGGAACCUCGAAUGGGGAAACCUACUAGAUACACUCUAGUAUCCAUACGUAAAUACAUAGCGUAUGGGACGCAUCGAAUGUUCUGAACUGAAAACUGUAAGGUACC
RNAcentral lists this ribosomal RNA (200 nucleotides) under chlamydia-associated clinical sample 577-S. RNAcentral's name for it is "partial 23S ribosomal RNA". The stretch from base 40 to 163 matches the Rfam family "Bacterial large subunit ribosomal RNA", at positions 52 to 178 of the family's 2925-position model. The record is from RNAcentral.